GUCCUCGUAGCUCAAAUGGAUAGAGCAACUCCCUUCUAAGGAGUAGGUUGUGCGUUCGAUUCGCGCCGGGGACA
Molecule: transfer RNA, 74 nt
Filed under: bacterium
Lineage: Bacteria
Description: tRNA-Arg
Rfam family: tRNA
About the family: Transfer RNA (tRNA) molecules are approximately 80 nucleotides in length.
Source: RNAcentral